RNAcentral lists this ribosomal RNA (350 nucleotides) under uncultured bacterium. RNAcentral describes it as "partial 16S ribosomal RNA". It matches the Rfam family "Bacterial small subunit ribosomal RNA", at positions 338 to 685 of the family's 1533-position model. The record is from RNAcentral.
CCUACGGGAGACAGCAGUGAGGAAUAUUGGUCAAUGGACGCAAGUCUGAACCAGCCAUGCCGCGUGCAGGAAGACGGCUCUAUGAGUUGUAAACUGCUUUUGUACGAGGGUAAAUCCCGAUACGUGUAUCGGGUUGAAAGUAUCGUACGAAUAAGUAUCAGCUAACUCCGUGCCAUAAGCCGCGGUAAUACGGAGGAUUCAAUCGUUAUACGGAUUUAUUGGUGUUAAAGGGUGCGUAGGUGGUUCGAUAAGUUAGAGGUGAAAUCCCGGGGCUCAACUCCGGCACUGCCUCUGAUAAUGACUGGCUAGAGUUUAGAUGCGGUAGGAGGAAUGUAUGGUGUAGCGGUGAA